RNAcentral lists this ribosomal RNA (253 nucleotides) under uncultured bacterium. Its description in RNAcentral is "partial 16S ribosomal RNA". It matches the Rfam family "Bacterial small subunit ribosomal RNA", at positions 524 to 776 of the family's 1533-position model. The record is from RNAcentral.
UACGGAGGAUGCAAGCGUUAUCCGGAAUUAUUGGGCGUAAAGCGUCCGCAGGCGGCAGUUCAAGUCUGCUGUCAAAGACCGGGGCUUAACUUCGGAAAGGCAGUGGAAACUGAACAGCUAGAGUAUGGUAGGGGCAGAGGGAAUUCCUGGUGUAGCGGUGAAAUGCGUAGAGAUCAGGAAGAACAUCGGUGGCGAAGGCGCUCUGCUGGACCAUAACUGACACUCAGGGACGAAAGCUAGGGGAGCGAAUGGG